RNAcentral lists this ribosomal RNA (750 nucleotides) under uncultured Candidatus Poseidoniales archaeon. RNAcentral describes it as "bacterial SSU rRNA". It matches the Rfam family "Archaeal small subunit ribosomal RNA", at positions 167 to 919 of the family's 1478-position model. The record is from RNAcentral. Lineage: Archaea; Methanobacteriati; Thermoplasmatota; Candidatus Poseidoniia; Candidatus Poseidoniales.
CGCCUGGAACGGUGAGUGGAUGAAAGCUCCGGCGGCAUAGGAUGGGCCUGCGGCGUAUCAGGUUGUAGGGGGUGUAACGUACCCUCUAGCCCUCUACGCGUACGGGUGUUGGGAGACAUAGCCCGGAGAUGGAUUCUGAGACACGAAUCCAGACCCUACGGGGUGCAGCAGGCGCGAAAACUUGGCAAUGCGAGAAAUCGUGACCAGGGAACUCCAAGUGCAUCGGGUAAGACCGGUGCUUUUCUUGACUCUAAAUAGGUCUUGGAAUAAGGGGUGGGUAAGGACGGUGCCAGCCGCCGCGGUAAUACCGGCGCCUCAAGUGGUAGUCGCUUUUAUUGGGCCUAAAACGUCCGUAGCCGGUCUGAUACAUUCGUGGGUAAAUCAACCAGCUCAACUGGUUGAAUUCUGCGAGGACGGUCAGACUUGGGACCGGGAGAGGUGUGGGGUACGCUCAGGGUAGGGGUAAAAUCCUGUCAUCCUGAGCGGACCACCUGUUGCGAAGGCGCCACACUAGAACGGAUCCGACGGUCAGGGACGAAGCCUAGGGGCACGAACCGGAUUAGAUACCCGGGUAGUCCUAGGUGUAAACGCUGUGGACUUGAUGUUGGGGGUGCUCCGAGCACUCUCAGUGUCGAAGCGAAGGUGAUAAGUCCACUGCCUGGGAAGUACGGUCGCAAGGCUGAAACUUAAAGGAAUUGGCGGGGGAGCACCGCAACCUGAGGAUUGUGCGGUUUAAUUGGACUCAACGCC